RNAcentral lists this ribosomal RNA (403 nucleotides) under uncultured bacterium. Its description in RNAcentral is "partial 16S ribosomal RNA". It matches the Rfam family "Bacterial small subunit ribosomal RNA", at positions 30 to 526 of the family's 1533-position model. The record is from RNAcentral.
AUUGAACGCUGGCGGCAGGCCUAACACAUGCAAGUCGAGCGCGCGGCGGACGGGUGUGUAAUGUAUGGGGACUGCCCGAUAGAGGGGGAUCACUACUGGACACGGUGGCUAAUACCGCAAACUAUCGGAAAACCCAUAUGGGUUUCGCUAGUAGGAGGGGUAAAGACUCAUCUAGGCCGCGAUCUCUAGCUGGUCUGAGAGGAUGAUCAGCCACACUGGGACUGGGACACGGCCCAGACUCCUACGGAGGCAGCAGUGGGGAAUAUGGCACAAUGGGCGCAAGCCUGAUGCAGCCAUGCCGCGUGUAUGAAGAAGGCCUUAGGGUUGUAAAGUACUUUCAGCGGGGAGGCGUUACCCGCAGAAGAAGCACCGGCUAACUCCGUGCCAGCGGCCGCGGUAAUUC